Molecule: ribosomal RNA, 480 nt
Filed under: uncultured bacterium
Lineage: Bacteria
Description: partial 16S ribosomal RNA
Rfam family: Bacterial small subunit ribosomal RNA
Source: RNAcentral
GACGAACGCUGGCGGCGUGCUUAACACAUGCAAGUCGAACGAGAAUCUACUGACAGAGUUUUCGGACACUGGAAGUAGAGGAAAGUGGCGGACGGGUGAGUAACGCGUGAGGAACCUGCCUUGAAGAGGGGGACAACAGUUGGAAACGACUGCUAAUACCGCAUGAAGCAUAGGGGUCGCAUGAUUCUUAUGCCAAAGAUUUAUCGCUUCAAGAUGGCCUCGCGUCUGAUUAGCUGGUUGGCGGGGUAACGGCCCACCAAGGCGACGAUCAGUAGCCGGACUGAGAGGUUGAACGGCCACAUUGGGACUGAGAUACGGCCCAGACUCCUACGGGAGGCAGCAGUGGGGAAUAUUGGGCAAUGGGCGCAAGCCUGACCCAGCAACGCCGCGUGAAGGAAGAAGGCUUUCGGGUUGUAAACUUCUUUUAAGAGGGAAGAGCAGAAGACGGUACCUCUAGAAUAAGCCACGGCUAACUACGUG